RNAcentral lists this ribosomal RNA (844 nucleotides) under uncultured fungus. RNAcentral describes it as "eukaryotic LSU rRNA". The stretch from base 1 to 241 matches the Rfam family "Eukaryotic small subunit ribosomal RNA", at positions 1593 to 1831 of the family's 1831-position model. Lineage: Eukaryota; Fungi. The record is from RNAcentral.
UUGCUCUUCAACGAGGAAUGCCUAGUAGGCACAAGUCAUCAGCUUGUGCCGAUUACGUCCCUGCCCUUUGUACACACCGCCCGUCGCUACUACCGAUUGAAUGGCUCAGUGAGGCCUCCGGACUGGCCCAGGGGGGUUGGCAACGACCGCCCAGGGCCGGAAAGCUGGUCAAACUUGGUCAUUUAGAGGAAGUAAAAGUCGUAACAAGGUUUCCGUAGGUGAACCUGCGGAAGGAUCAUUACAGUGUCUGGCUGGGCGUCCCCUAGGGGUCGCCCGCUACUGACCACCCUUGCCUACCUAACCACUGUUGCUUCGGCAGGCCCGCUCCUGGUGCUCCCUAACCGGGGCCCGGGUGCGGCCUGGGGCCUGGCUUAACCGCCGCCCGGGUGAGCGCCUGCCGGGGGAUUAGUUGAAACACUUGUUGAUCAGUGAGAACUCUGAGUUGAUUGCAAAAUCGUUAAAACUUUCAACAACGGAUCUCUUGGUUCCAGCAUCGAUGAAGAACGCAGCGAAAUGCGAUAAGUAAUGUGAAUUGCAGAAUUCCGUGAAUCAUCGAAUCUUUGAACGCACAUUGCGCCCUCUGGUAUUCCGGGGGGCAUGCCUGUCCGAGCGUCAUUACACCAAUCAAGCACGGCUUGUGAGUUGGGUCACCGUCCCCUAAUAAGGACGGGCCCGAAACGCAGUGGCGGCGUCGCGGUUUCUCGAUCAGCCAGAGUGUAUGGGGAUUUCAUUCACACGCUCAAGGCCGGGACCGGCGCCAGUCGAUAACCAAACUAUUUAUCAAGGUUGACCUCGGAUCAGGUAGGGAUACCCGCUGAACUUAAGCAUAUCAAUAAGCGGAGGA